AAUUGGUCCUUUUCCUUCCUGCUGACUUUCGUUAUUGGAAUCGAACGGAGCAUUUUAGUAUGCCCCGGCUGACUGUAACGGGGUGACUGAACCUGGCACUCAGUAUUUGCGCUGGAGUUGGUCGUUGCUCCCAAUAUUUGAGGUAACUGAACAUUAAUAAAAGUCCCCUUUCUUUACAUUUUCAUGGUAUACUCGUAUUACAACAUGACACCGCUUUAUACUC
RNAcentral lists this long non-coding RNA (223 nucleotides) under Physcomitrium patens. RNAcentral describes it as "long non-coding RNA (PPAT_LNC012272)". Lineage: Eukaryota; Viridiplantae; Streptophyta; Bryopsida; Funariales; Funariaceae. The record is from RNAcentral.